GAAAUCGGAAGAACCUCAAUCCAAACAAAAGGUAAACCCCACAGAAAAACUCCUACUUUUCCCACAUUUGCUCAAAACUUUCCAUAACGUUCGCGAGAAACAAAGAUGGCUUUUCGCUCCUCUCUCUUUCGCCUCAGAUUCCACCGCCUCCGCACCAACACCACGACUAUCACCAACAGGUUGUUCUACUCUGCUUCUCCAUUCCUUUCUACCAUGAAAUCUGAAUGCUCGAUUCUCUCCCCUCUCUCAGAUCUCCGUACAAUCUCUAUGGAAUUUCCCUCGCUCACCGGUCUCCGAUUCUUCUCCACCCCCCGACGCCACCCUGCCCGCUCGAAGACAGUGGACAUAGGGGCCCGAGCCCGUCAACUCCAAACACGCCGCCUCUGGACCUAUGCUUUGACGUUCAGUUGCAUUGCGGGUUUUAUAGUGAUCGUUUUAAACAACUUUCAAGACCAAUUAGUGUUUUAUGUGACCCCAACAGACGCUAUGGAAAAAUACAAAGCAAACCCACAAAAGAACAAAUUCAGAUUAGGUGGAUUAGUUCUCGAAGGAAGCGUUGUUCAACCUGCUUCUUCGCCUGAAAUGGAGUUUGUGAUUACAGAUUUGAUCACUGAUAUUUUGGUCCGGUAUCAGGGAUCGCUGCCCGACUUGUUCAGAGAAGGGCAUUCGGUGGUGGUGGAAGGGUUUGUGAAACCAUUCACAGAGGAGAUAAAGAAGGAGGUGGGAGCGAGGAGCGUUUCAGGGAAAGCGAGGAGCGGGGAGUGUUACUUCUCUGCAACUGAGGUUUUGGCUAAGCAUGAUGAGAAGUAUAUGCCUAAGGAGGUGGCUGCAGCAAUUGAGAAGAAUAAGCAGCUAAUUGAAGCUGGUGAAGGAAGUAAAAAGGAAGCCAUAAACUAAUUGGUAUGAUUCUAAUUUUUUAUUAAUGUGUUCUAUUAUAAGUUAAGGCAUUGGAUUAACGGCUACUUGUUUAGGUCAGGCAAUACUCAUUGAUUUUGAGGGAAAGAUAAUUGGAUCAUUUGAGGCUACUACCUUUUUUUUUUUCGAUGUUGUAAUGUCACAUGCAUUCAUGAAUUAACCCUGCAGAUAACUGGGUAAUGAAUAAUUUCGCCGAGGAAUACAUAUGUAGAUUAGUGAAUCUGCCUCAUUUGUCGAAAAUUUUGGCAAUAUCUUUGGGAUGGAAAUGAUUGAAAUUUAGUAUUUGUUUGAUGGAAAUGAUUUGAAUUGUCUUUUUAUUUCUUGUAAUUAAUUUUUCUAUUAUAUAGAUGAUUUGGGAUGUGGAAUGGAUUGAUAAAGGAUGAGUGGGGAUUUAUUUGGUGGAUGCAGUAACUAAAGUUUUUCUCGUGUACCAGGGAAGAGGUUCUAAUAUGAAGAACUUGAGCAUUUAAUUAAUUUUUAUCUUUUGAUUCCUAAUUGUUGUUAAGGCUUAGUUGUUGUUGUUUUGAUUCCUAAUUACCAUGUUCACUAAUUUCUACCACAAUAUGCAUACAUUUCACAUUGCCUUUUUUUAAUCAUAAGACUGGAGUGUGGUGUUAGUAUAUCACCACACUUUUUUUAACCAAAAGGUAGUUAAGCCAUGUUUAAGAAAAGCAGAACAAAAGUACAUGCUUAGUUUCAGCGAAUAUGCAUUUAAUUAACCUAUCAACAGAAUUGAGAUGAGUGCAUGUCAGGAAAUUGAAUUUUGUUAACAUCAAGAAAAGAAAUUUGUAAAUUGUUUUGCCCUUUUUUGUUCCUUUUUGAAUUUCAGAUAUAGGCGGCUAGGUUUUAAUAAUCUUUAGGUUUUGAGCAUUAGUUAUUCAUACCCUGUUACAUGUGCUUAUAUUGGGAAAGAUGAGUUGAAGUGCUUUGUAGGGGUCUAGCAAUGAUUGGCACUGUAUAAUUUAAGCCCCAGAAUGAUGCAUGUUAUUUAAGGAAGAUGCAGUGUGUUUCCACUUUCCAGAAAGUUGGAGCAGCUGAGAAUUUUACUUCUCUCAGUCUCUUACUUUUUCUCUUGUUGCUGAGUGGUCUUGCUUUGUUGUUGUACUUUCCUAAAAUUAGAAGAUAGGGAGCUUCUCCACGUCCAGCUUUUGUCCACCAUAUUGUAGCUCUUGCAUAUGUUAAAUGUAACGAAGAUCAACAGUGGGUGCAGCUAAUCCCUUUUUUAGUAGACCAGGAACACACUCUCUCUUUCUCUGUAGAGCCUACUGCAACGCUGCAAGCUUUACUUUCUUGAGUUUACAUUGACUGUUACUGGUAUUUUUGGCCCAUAAUAGUUGCCCUUCAAACUUUGCUUUCUUUUCUGUUUUGCCUUUUUAUUCCCAGAAUGAAGUUUUUUUGUGUUUAGAUUUGGGUGAGAUCUUCCUCUGACUCUCAAGAUCUAGGUUUUGCCCUUUCCCUUGGGUGAGAAUGUAUUUUUGGCAAGAUCUUGCUGAAUUGACCAUGGACAAAGGCAGUUGUCUACAGUUGAGAUCUCUCUGCAGAUGUUACUCCCUUACAGAUGUUAGUUCGUAAGCUUGAGAGGUGAAUUGGAGUUAGAACUUCUUAAAGACCCUUGGCUCAACCUAUACUUGAAGACAGAUGACUUUUUCUGCUGCCAGUAUCUUUAUGCUUGUUGAGUGCUGCUUCACAGCCACCACCAAUUUGCGAGUGAGCAUGAAAAUUUAGUCAAGCCUACUUGACUGCUUCAAUGCACUUUCUUAACAUGUGUACAAGUGAAUUCUAUCGAUCUGUAUUGCCGAAGAUUGCCUUGAUACCAAGUAAGGAAUUAUAGCAUAUGCUGUUGCCCUUAGAUUUUCAUGUGGCCUUUGAUAUUACGGGUCGAAACCCCUUUUUCCUUGCGAGGUACAGCGAUCAAGCACUACCCCAAUCUUUGGACAGUCAUCUAUGGUCACAGUGAAUCAGCGUGGACUCCUCUCAGGUCCUGCCCCCUGUAUCUCUCUCAGAAUUACUAUAAAAUAUAUACAGGAAAAACUUUGUAUAAAGCUCAAAGGCAUCAAUGGCUAUCCGGGGGAAGAUUCUCCUUUCAACUACUAUUUCGUGGUGGUUCUAAUCUCUGAGGCAUCGUCCUUGCUCCAUACGUUCUUUUUGGAUCCACAUCAACAAGAAAAGCCCAAAAGAGAAGGCAAUUGAUGAAAUGUCUAGUAAAGAAAUAGCUAACAUUCAAUAGACCUAUCAAUGAACAAAAUAAAUAUCAAGGUUUAAUCAUUUUUGCUAUUGUAAUGGAUCAUAGCUCACAAAUUCUCACAAAGUCCAUCCCUGGAGGUACUUUCGGUCGUAGCCCGUCAGCAUUUUGCUUGGCCGAUUGAUACAUCCCGGG
Molecule: unclassified non-coding RNA, 3292 nt
Filed under: Hevea brasiliensis (rubber tree)
Lineage: Eukaryota; Viridiplantae; Streptophyta; Magnoliopsida; Malpighiales; Euphorbiaceae
Source: RNAcentral